This 225-nucleotide long non-coding RNA is filed under the name Medicago truncatula (barrel medic). Its description in RNAcentral is "lncRNA gene39956". The record is from RNAcentral. Lineage: Eukaryota; Viridiplantae; Streptophyta; Magnoliopsida; Fabales; Fabaceae.
UUCAGAGGCUCAGAUCUGGAACAAAGAUGGGAUCGAUCGUUGAAAAGAAGCACCGCCAUGAAUGGCUGCAAUUGGAUGCUUCCCGAUCCAAAGAAUACCACGCCACCGGCGGCGAGAAUUCUUCGACGGCGAUCGAUCCAUCCCGAUUCACAAUCCAAAACCAAUGUCAUCAUUGCCUCUUGAGAGAGAAAAGGAGGAGCAAAGAAGAAAGAAGAAAGGAAAAAA